AACAAACGCUGGCGGCGUGCCUAAUACAUGCAAGUCGAACGGGGAAAGUAGCAAUAUGAGUACUAGUGGCGCACGGGUGAGUAAUACGUGGAUAAUCUGCCUUCAAGUGGGGGAUAACUAGUCGAAAGAUUAGCUAAUACCGCAUAAGACCACAGGAUCUGAGGAUCUAGGGGUUAAAGGUUUUUCGCUUGAAGAUGAGUCCGCGUGAGAUUAGCUAGUUGGUGAGGUAAUGGCUCACCAAGGCAACGAUCUCUAACUGGUCUGAGAGGAUGAUCAGUCACACUGGAACUGAGACACGGUCCAGACUCCUACGGGAGGCAGCAGUAGGGAAUAUUGCACAAUGGAGGAAACUCUGAUGCAGCGACGCCGCGUGAGUGAUGAAGGCCUUCGGGUCGUAAAGCUCUGUCGCAGGGGAAUAACACAAUGAAUGUACCCUGUAAGAAAGGAUCGGCUAACUUCGUGCCAGCAGCCGCGGUAAGACGAGGGAUCCUAGCGUUGUUCGGAAUUAUUGGGCGUAAAGCGGGUGUAGGUGGCUUUGUAAGUCAGGUGUGAAAGCCUAGGGCUCAACCCUAGAAGUGCAUUUGAUACUGCGAAGCUUGAGUGUUAGAGAGGAUAGUAGAAUUGUUGGUGUAGUGGUGAAAUACGUAGAUAUCAACAGGAAUACCGGAGGCGAAGGCGGCUAUCUGGCCAAACACUGACACUGAGAUCCGAAAGCGUGGGGAUCAAACAGGAUUAGAUACCCUGGUAGUCCACGCUGUAAACGAUGGAUACUUGUUGUUGGAGGUAUUGACCCCUUCAGUGACGAAGCUAACGCGUUAAGUAUCCCGCCUGGGGAGUACGGUCGCAAGAUUA
This 852-nucleotide ribosomal RNA is filed under the name uncultured delta proteobacterium. RNAcentral describes it as "bacterial SSU rRNA". It matches the Rfam family "Bacterial small subunit ribosomal RNA", at positions 28 to 896 of the family's 1533-position model. Lineage: Bacteria; Deltaproteobacteria. The record is from RNAcentral.